This 885-nucleotide ribosomal RNA is filed under the name Fusarium proliferatum. RNAcentral's name for it is "partial large subunit ribosomal RNA". It matches the Rfam family "Eukaryotic large subunit ribosomal RNA", at positions 66 to 978 of the family's 3401-position model. The record is from RNAcentral. Lineage: Eukaryota; Fungi; Ascomycota; Sordariomycetes; Hypocreales; Nectriaceae.
ACACAGGGAUUGCCCUAGUAACGGCGAGUGAAGCGGCAACAGCUCAAAUUUGAAAUCUGGCUCUCGGGCCCGAGUUGUAAUUUGUAGAGGAUACUUUUGAUGCGGUGCCUUCCGAGUUCCCUGGAACGGGACGCCAUAGAGGGUGAGAGCCCCGUCUGGUUGGAUGCCAAAUCUCUGUAAAGUUCCUUCGACGAGUCGAGUAGUUUGGGAAUGCUGCUCUAAAUGGGAGGUAUAUGUCUUCUAAAGCUAAAUACCGGCCAGAGACCGAUAGCGCACAAGUAGAGUGAUCGAAAGAUGAAAAGCACUUUGAAAAGAGAGUUAAAAAGUACGUGAAAUUGUUGAAAGGGAAGCGUUUAUGACCAGACUUGGGCUUGGUUAAUCAUCUGGGGUUCUCCCCAGUGCACUUUUCCAGUCCAGGCCAGCAUCAGUUUUCCCCGGGGGAUAAAGACUUCGGGAAUGUGGCUCUCUUCGGGGAGUGUUAUAGCCCGUUGUGUAAUACCCUGGGGGGGACUGAGGUUCGCGCAUCUGCAAGGAUGCUGGCGUAAUGGUCAUCAACGACCCGUCUUGAAACACGGACCAAGGAGUCGUCUUCGUAUGCGAGUGUUCGGGUGUCAAACCCCUACGCGUAAUGAAAGUGAACGCAGGUGAGAGCUUCGGCGCAUCAUCGACCGAUCCUGAUGUUCUCGGAUGGAUUUGAGUAAGAGCAUACGGGGCCGGACCCGAAAGAAGGUGAACUAUGCCUGUAUAGGGUGAAGCCAGAGGAAACUCUGGUGGAGGCUCGCAGCGGUUCUGACGUGCAAAUCGAUCGUCAAAUAUGGGCAUGGGGGCGAAAGACUAAUCGAACCUUCUAGUAGCUGGUUUCCGCCGAAGUUUCCCUUUCAGGGA